Molecule: long non-coding RNA, 311 nt
Filed under: Setaria viridis
Lineage: Eukaryota; Viridiplantae; Streptophyta; Magnoliopsida; Poales; Poaceae
Description: long non-coding RNA (SVIR_LNC006501)
Source: RNAcentral
GUUGUUGGCGCAACCAGGUGGGAAAAGUUUCCAUGUGCUGACGGGUAAGCCAAGCAUCGGAUUGGGUCGGGUUUUUGGAAGCUACCAUCUGCCUGUGUUGCUCGAUAUACGGAGACACAAAGGAUGACUGUUGUAGAACAGUGUAGUGUGCCUUGUCGAACAAAUCAGUAUCAUUGCUCAAACUUGAUUUCCUUCCAAGGGUGCCCAUUCCUCGGAGCCUCCCCUCGUGGCGUGAAGUUGGAACCCCAAUCGAGUCAAUUGAAUCAAUAAAAUCAACACAAAACUCGAUCACCUCCUCUGUUCCAUAUCCC